CCUACGGGAGGCAGCAGUGGGGAAUAUUGCACAAUGCGCGCAAGCCUGAUGCAGCCAUGCCGCGUGUAUGAAGAAGGCCUUCGGGUUGUAAAGUACUUUCAGCGGGGAGGAAGGCGUUAAGGUUAAUAACCUUGGCGAUUGACGUUACCCGCAGAAGAAGCACCGGCUAACUCCGUGCCAGCAGCCGCGGUAAUA
RNAcentral lists this ribosomal RNA (195 nucleotides) under uncultured bacterium. Its description in RNAcentral is "partial 16S ribosomal RNA". It matches the Rfam family "Bacterial small subunit ribosomal RNA", at positions 338 to 525 of the family's 1533-position model. The record is from RNAcentral.